UUCGUUCUGCUUGGUUCGUGCUGCUCUAUGUUAAAAACCUACAUUUACGAAUUGGAGCAUGCCUUCCGUGUUCGGGAACGCAGGCCUCCCGCCGCAAGCUGCUUUGUCACCUUGCCGUGCGGACGUUGGAAGCGCAAAGACGCGGAGAGUGCACCGACCUGCCGAAGCAGGGUUUUCGUUCGUAGAGCCACGGCCAAAGCGGGCGACA
RNAcentral lists this non-coding RNA (208 nucleotides) under Bacillota bacterium. RNAcentral's name for it is "6S RNA". It matches the Rfam family "6S / SsrS RNA". Rfam says of the family: E. coli 6S RNA was the first non coding RNA to be sequenced, but its function was unknown until recently. The record is from RNAcentral. Lineage: Bacteria; Bacillati; Bacillota.